Molecule: ribosomal RNA, 480 nt
Filed under: uncultured bacterium
Lineage: Bacteria
Description: partial 16S ribosomal RNA
Rfam family: Bacterial small subunit ribosomal RNA
Source: RNAcentral
GACGAACGCUGGCGGCGUGCUUAACACAUGCAAGUCGAACGAUGAAGAAAAGAAUCGAAGCUUCGGCAGAAAUUCAAUCCGGAUUAGUGGCAGACGGGUGAGUAACGCGUGAGCAACCUACCCUUCACAAAGGGAUAGCCACGGGAAAACGGGAUUAACACCAUAUAACAUUGCGAUGAAGCAUUUCGAUGCAAUCAAAGCUACGGCGGUAAGAGAUGGGUUCGCGUCCCAUUAACCGGAUGGUGAGGUAACGGCACGGCAUAGUGACGAAGGGUAACCGGGCUGGGAAGGUGAACGGUCACACUGGAGCUGAGGCACGGUCCAGAAUCCUACGGGAGGCAGCAGUAGAGAGUAUUACGCGAGGGAGGGAGCUCUAAUGCAGCGGCGCCGCGUAAGUGGUGAAGGGAUUCGUAUCGUAAAACUCUGUUCUAUGAGAAGAGAGGGACUGUACCGUAUGAGAAAGCUCCGGCUAAAUACGUG